ACGGGUGAGUAAUGCCUAGGAAUCUGCCUGGUAGUGGGGGACAACGUCUCGAAAGGGACGCUAAUACCGCAUACGUCCUACGGGAGAAAGUGGGGGAUCUUCGGACCUCACGCUAUCAGAUGAGCCUAGGUCGGAUUAGCUAGUUGGUGAGGUAAUGGCUCACCAAGGCGACGAUCCGUAACUGGUCUGAGAGGAUGAUCAGUCACACUGGAACUGAGACACGGUCCAGACUCCUACGGGAGGCAGCAGUGGGGAAUAUUGGACAAUGGGCGAAAGCCUGAUCCAGCCAUGCCGCGUGUGUGAAGAAGGUCUUCGGAUUGUAAAGCACUUUAAGUUGGGAGGAAGGGCAUUAACCUAAUACGUUAGUGUUUUGACGUUACCGACAGAAUAAGCACCGGCUAACUCUGUGCCAGCAGCCGCGGUAAUACAGAGGGUGCAAGCGUUAAUCGGAAUUACUGGGCGUAAAGCGCGCGUAGGUGGUUUGUUAAGUUGAAUGUGAAAUCCCCGGGCUCAACCUGGGAACUGCAUCCAAAACUGGCAAGCUAGAGUAGGGCAGAGGGUGGUGGAAUUUCCUGUGUAGCGGUG
RNAcentral lists this ribosomal RNA (585 nucleotides) under uncultured Pseudomonas sp. RNAcentral describes it as "bacterial SSU rRNA". It matches the Rfam family "Bacterial small subunit ribosomal RNA", at positions 102 to 683 of the family's 1533-position model. The record is from RNAcentral. Lineage: Bacteria; Pseudomonadati; Pseudomonadota; Gammaproteobacteria; Pseudomonadales; Pseudomonadaceae.